RNAcentral lists this long non-coding RNA (544 nucleotides) under Mytilus galloprovincialis (Mediterranean mussel). Lineage: Eukaryota; Metazoa; Mollusca; Bivalvia; Mytilida; Mytilidae. The record is from RNAcentral.
GUUGGCAGUUAAAAGUCUAAGUAAAUACUAUUUUGACGUGUUUUGCCUAACUUUUUUCAUUUUUUCCUUCCUUUUUUUUUUGGGAGAAAAGGGGGGGGGGAUUAUUUUAUUAGAAGAAAAGGUUGUAUGUGAUGUCAUACAAUGUUUAAUCCCACUCGUCAGUAGACCUUGACAAAUAUAUUCCAUACUCAGUGGGUAUUUAGGGAAUUCAAAGUACUGUCAAGCAGGAAAUGACUGAUUGCGUCAUUUCUUUAUAAAUUGUCUGUAUACGUGUUACCAUUCAGCUUUAUGAACAAAUGUCAAACCAUUCCUUAAUAUGUACAGGAGUAGACUAAUAUCCUCGGUGGAUACAAAUACGGUUAAACAAAUGUAGUGACUAUCUCGGGUAGAUCUUAAAAAUCGCUAACACGGCACAACUAAACAAGUAAAAUUAAAAAAAAUACUGAACUCCGAGGGGAAUUCAAAAAGGAAAGUCAAAUGGCAAAAUCAUUAAUGCGGUUCUACAAAUCAAACGAAUGGAUAACAACUGUCAUAUAUCAGACCA